GACUACAUCUAUGUAAGUCUUUGCAUUGACCGGAAGACUUCCAUGUAAGUCGUCUACAGCCAGACGUACUUCAUGCGUUUUAGUUAUCUCGAGCAAGUUCCGAACUCGUCUAUCACUUGUAACAUGAAUAGGAGGAAGGUCUGGAGCCAUAUUUUGUAAUGAGUAGGUUAACUCCACAGACUCUAUGUUCAUGUCCAGGUUAUAAUCUUCUUGAGCCAUUGCAACAAGAUCAACAUGUGUCGAACCUUCACUCAAAAAUAACAUUCUCGCUCUUUUGAAAUGAUCAACCACAAAAUUCCAAUAUCCAUCUUUCAACAACCACUC
RNAcentral lists this long non-coding RNA (324 nucleotides) under Brassica napus (rape). RNAcentral's name for it is "long non-coding RNA (BNAP_LNC010993)". Lineage: Eukaryota; Viridiplantae; Streptophyta; Magnoliopsida; Brassicales; Brassicaceae. The record is from RNAcentral.